RNAcentral lists this ribosomal RNA (250 nucleotides) under uncultured bacterium. RNAcentral's name for it is "partial 16S ribosomal RNA". It matches the Rfam family "Bacterial small subunit ribosomal RNA", at positions 103 to 339 of the family's 1533-position model. The record is from RNAcentral.
CGGGUGAGUAACGCGUGGGAAUAUGUCCAUGUAGUGGGGGAUAGCCCGAGGAAACUCGGAUUAAUACCGCAUACGACGGUUUGAUUAGAUUUGAACCGUGAAAGAUUGCCAAUCCUUGGAAGCAGUCACUAUUGGAGUAGCCCGCGUAAGAUUAGCUAGUAGGUGUGGUAAGAGCGCACCUAGGCAACGAUCUUUAGCUGUUCUGAGAGGAAGAUCAGCCACACUGGGACUGAGACACGGCCCAGACUCC